GACGAACGCUGGCGGCGUGCUUAACACAUGCAAGUCGAACGGAAAGGUCCUGCUUUUGUUGGGUGCUCGAGUGGCGAACGGGUGAGUAACACGUGAGUAACCUGCCCUUGACUUUGGGAUAACUUCAGGAGACUGGGGCUAAUACCGGAUAGGAGCUCCUGCUGCAUGUUGGGGGUUGGAAAGUUUCGGCGGUGGGGGAUGGAUUCGCGGCUUAUCCGCUUGUUGGUGAGGUAGUGGCUGACCAGGGCUUUGACGGGUAGCCGGCCUGGGAGGGUUACCGGCCACAUGGGGACUGAGGUACGGCCCAGACUCCUACGGGAGGCAGCAGUGGGGAAUAUUGCACAAUGGGGGGAAGCCUGAUGCAGCAGCGCCGCGUGCGGGAUGACGGCCUUCGGGUGGUAAACCGCUUUCGCCUGUGACGAAGAGUGAGUGACGGUAAUGGGUAAAGAAGCACCGGCUAACUACGUG
RNAcentral lists this ribosomal RNA (468 nucleotides) under uncultured bacterium. Its description in RNAcentral is "partial 16S ribosomal RNA". It matches the Rfam family "Bacterial small subunit ribosomal RNA", at positions 28 to 507 of the family's 1533-position model. The record is from RNAcentral.